Molecule: non-coding RNA, 636 nt
Organism: Peromyscus maniculatus bairdii (prairie deer mouse)
Lineage: Eukaryota; Metazoa; Chordata; Mammalia; Rodentia; Cricetidae
Source: RefSeq, a predicted model, not a curated record
CAGAGUUUGUUUUCCCUUAUUGUUGGAGGAAACAGUUCUUGUGCUGGGGAAGUCACUGCAGCAGGGGCUGGCAUCAUCUGAUCACUGUGUCGGAAAGCUGAGAGCAGCUGAUGCUAGUGCUUGUCUUUAUCAGCUGAUGUCCUCAGUUCAUGAAAUGGUUCCACUCAUGGUUCAGGAACUUCCUUCAUCUCAGAGGCCGGCAAUGAAAAGUCUGCAGAGCCAGUAUCCCAACUUGAGCCCAGUGCCAGGGCUGCUGUGAACUGGAGAGAUCUGGGACUCAGUUCAAGAGGCUUCAUUUAGGAGAAUUCUGUCCUUGAGCAAGACAGGGUCUUCGGGCUAUCCAGUCUCGUAUUUGUGGCCAUCCAGGCAGCAUUGGCCAUGGAUUCUCUCUCAUGGUAUGGGCCUCAAAUUACACCAGUCAUUGGUUGGCCACUCCCACAAAUUCUGUGCCUCCACUGCCCCAGCACAUCUUGCAGGCAGGAUAGGUUUUUGGUGGAAGGUUUUAUGGCUGGGUUGGUAUUCCAGUUCUACCACUGGAAGCCAAUUAAGGGCAUCCUUCAUCUCAAAGAACAUUUAAAAACUCUCAUUUUUAGGGUUGAGGAGAUGGCUCAGCAGUUAAGAGUUCAUACUGCUUUU